UACGUAGGGUGCGAGCGUUAAUCGGAAUUACUGGGCGUAAAGCGUGCGCAGGCUGCUUUGCAAGACAGAUGUGAAAUCCCCGGGCUCAACCUGGGAACUGCAUUUGUGACUGCAAGGCUAGAGUACGGCAGAGGGGGAUGGAAUUCCGCGUGUAGCAGUGAAAUGCGUAGAUAUGCGGAGGAACACCAAUGGCGAAGGCAAUCCCCUGGGCCUGUACUGACGCUCAUGCACGAAAGCGUGGGGAGCAAACAGG
This 253-nucleotide ribosomal RNA is filed under the name uncultured bacterium. RNAcentral describes it as "partial 16S ribosomal RNA". It matches the Rfam family "Bacterial small subunit ribosomal RNA", at positions 524 to 776 of the family's 1533-position model. The record is from RNAcentral.